RNAcentral lists this ribosomal RNA (472 nucleotides) under uncultured bacterium. RNAcentral describes it as "bacterial SSU rRNA". It matches the Rfam family "Bacterial small subunit ribosomal RNA", at positions 29 to 524 of the family's 1533-position model. The record is from RNAcentral.
AACGAACGCUGGCGGCAGGCUUAACACAUGCAAGUCGAACGCGUGUAGCAAUACACGAGUGGCGCACGGGUGAGUAACGCGUGGAUAUCUGCCUUUUGGUUCGGAAUAACUCCGGGAAACUGGAGCUAAUACCGGAUGGUUCCUACGGGAUAAAGAUUUAUCGCCAAAAGAUGAGUCCGCGUACGAUUAGCUAGUUGGUGAGGUAAUGGCUCACCAAGGCGACGAUCGUUAGCUGGUCUGAGAGGACGAUCAGCCACACUGGGACUGAGACACGGCCCAGACUCCUACGGGAGGCAGCAGUGGGGAAUAUUGGACAAUGGGGGCAACCCUGAUCCAGCCAUGCCGCGUGAGUGAUGAAGGCCUCGGUGUAAGCCUUUUGUCCGGAAAGAAAGACACUGGAUUAAUACUUCGGUGUUCUGACGGUACCGGAAGAAUAAGCACCGGCUAACUUCGUGCCAGCAGCCGCGGUAAU